UACGAAGGGGGCAAGCGUUGUUCGGAAUUACUGGGCGUAAAGCGUGCGUAGGCGGCCAGGCAAGUUGGGAGUGAAAUCCCGGGGCUCAACCCCGGAACUGCUCUCAAAACUGCCAGGCUAGAAUCUCGGAGAGGAUAGCGGAAUUUCCAGUGUAGAGGUGAAAUUCGUAGAUAUUGGAAAGAACACCAGUGGCGUAGGCGGCUAUCUGGACGAGUAUUGACGCUAAGGCACGAAAGUGUGGGGAGCAAACAGG
Molecule: unclassified non-coding RNA, 253 nt
Filed under: uncultured Alphaproteobacteria bacterium
Lineage: Bacteria; Pseudomonadati; Pseudomonadota; Alphaproteobacteria
Description: contains 16S-23S intergenic spacer region
Rfam family: Bacterial small subunit ribosomal RNA
Source: RNAcentral